Molecule: non-coding RNA, 858 nt
Organism: Chiloscyllium plagiosum (whitespotted bambooshark)
Lineage: Eukaryota; Metazoa; Chordata; Chondrichthyes; Orectolobiformes; Hemiscylliidae
Source: RefSeq, a predicted model, not a curated record
GCACCCGGAGGAAACCUACGCAGACACGGGGAGAACGUGCAAACUCCACACAGUCAGUCGCCUGAGGCGGGAAUUGCUAUUUAGGAAGAUUGCUGUUUGGGAAAGAAAGUUAAUAACUAAAUUUAUAUAGUGGCAGUAUAUCAUUAUAAUUAUGUUGAUUGUAUCCAACAUAACACCUCAAAUGGUGGGAAAGCUACUCUAGAAGAGGUUAAAUUGUUGAGUUACAGUUUCUGUUGUUCACUUCAAAAAAUCAUGUGUUUUUAAAAAGAAAAGAAAACUAAAUCAUGUCACUGAAUGUAGAUAAAGGCUGCUGUCUCAUUGUCUACAUAUACAUCUCCAUCAAAGGGUCUAAGGGAGAUUUAUGUUGCUUCAGUGUUGUAAUGAGAAGUGUCCACUGUCAUGGAAAUUAAGUUGUAUUUAAUAAUCAGAGGGCUUGGGGUGUUUUUCAGCUGCAUAAUUCAGUAUAUAAAGGGAUAGUGAAUUUCAUUUAUUAGGAACUGAGUGACAUUAUAACUUGAAUCUAGACUGGGGGCUAUGUUUGGAUUUAAUGUGAUCAGAAUAUAUUUUGUACAAUUUUCUCAUGAAUGGCUUGUUAAUAAAUAUGGAUUUAUAAGAUUAUUGGCUGGUAUGUGUCAUGGUUUAACUAAUUUUUCAGAAGUACAAUACAGAUUAUUCAGUCUAUAAUAUGCUUAUUGAUGGAUUUUAAACCAUUUCCUGCAUUUCUUUUCUCCAUCCUGACCCUUCCAAAUUGUCAAAUUUUGAUUUUUUUUCUUUAACAAUCUUUCAUGGAAAAUGGGUAUUACUGGCAAGAUUGUCAACAUUUGUCUUCGAUCAUUAAUUAAAGCAUUGAUUGAUAAA